This is a long non-coding RNA of Prosopis cineraria, 2272 nucleotides long. RefSeq lists it as uncharacterized. The record is from RefSeq and is a predicted model, not a curated record. Lineage: Eukaryota; Viridiplantae; Streptophyta; Magnoliopsida; Fabales; Fabaceae. The transcript is spliced from 2 exons.
UCACGUGGCGACGAUUAGCUGGAGAUGUGUUUUCCUUGCCUUUAGCCUUAACUUUCGCAAGUCCUUUCCUUUUUGCCCCAACUGAAACCCAUUCAGAUUUGUUUUUCGAGAUUUCCUUCCAAAUAUCCUCUUAUUUUCUUUCAUAUUUCCUUUAUUAGUCAUACCUUCACCAGAUUUUCUAUUAAUGCUUUCCCCACGUGUAUUACCCUUUUGCUCAACUGCCACCCGAUUUCCUUCCUUAAUCCUCGCCUCAGAUCCAUUGUAUCCCUCCAUAUUCGUUUGUAAUCUCCGAUUGCGAAGAUCUCGCUCCACUAACAUUUCUGGGCCGUGAGGACUUGCCGCCGGUGACUCUUCCUGUUUUCCGACUGCCGUCAAUCUUUCUGCAUGAGCUUCCAACGUACCACUGUCCUUCUCCUCCUUGUUUCUAGGAUCGUCAUAUUCCUCCCGUUGUGUUUGUACAGUUUGCAAGUAAACUCUAGGCACACUUCCUUAUGAUGUCAAUAUUUCCCACAAUGAAAGCAUACCGGGUACAAUCCCUUAUACUCGAUCCGAUAUUCCUCACCAAGUAAGGCAAAUGUCAAUAACAGCGGCUGUCCUAGGUCAAGCUCCACACAUAUCUGGGCGAAACCUCCCUUGUGUCUGAAAUUGAGGUAGAUAAAUCUAGCUCAGUGUUUUACCCACCAUGUUUCCUACUCUUCUAAGAGAUUCCACAUUAUAUAAUUCCACAGGUAUUUUUGAUAUACGAAUCAACACCACGAUCCUUCUCUGCCGCUUUGCCUUCAAAGGAUUAAAAUUUGGCCGCCCCCUCUGAACCAACAACUAGUGAUCAUCGAUCAUCCACGGCCCCUCAUGGUACAUUAAUAAUACUUUUAAGAACAGGAAAAUGCAAGGGGACGACUGGGGAAGAAGCUUUGUGGUAGGCACCAUCAUCAAUUUGAGGUUCAACGAGCUUUGCAAGCAAAAGAAAAGGAUAAUAAGAGAUGUAUCUCAUGAAUGGAAAGGUUGAGGAGGAGUGUAAAAUAGAGGAUGUAUAACAACACAAUUGUGACAACUAGAAUUACACUUGUCAUAAAAGUAGUAAUGGUCAGCCACGUAAGUUUGCUCACCACUAGGCACACAGCCGCCAAGAAUGCCAAUGAUAGUGCUGCAAGAGAGAUUCCCAAAAGUGAUAUUGCGUAUGAGGGCAUACUAUAAUAGACAAAGAUCUCCCAGCCGAGCCCACAUGAGAACAAUUGUUAUGCUGAUGGCACCAUACAUAGAGCUUGUGAGACAAAAUGCACAAAUGGAAUAUAUGGCAUUUAAGAUUGACGGCAGUCCCAUCAUCCACAUCACCUAGUAGCCAUAAGAGGGAUGGGGUUGAAUUGGGAAAAAGCUUCAGGGUUGGCAUCAUUAUCAUCAAUUUGAGGUUCAGCGAGCUUUGUAAGCAAAAGAAAAGGAUAGUAUGAGAUGUAUCUCAUGAAUGGCAAGGUUGAGGAGGAGGGUAAACAGAGGAAAGUGUAUAAUAACACAAUCGUGACAACUAGAAUUACACUACUUGUCAUAAAGGUAAUGGUCAACCACAUAAGUUUGCUCACCACUAGGUACACACCUGCCAAGAAUGCCAAUGAUAGUGCUACAAGAGAGAUUCCCAGAAGUGGUAUUGCGCAAUUAAGGGCAUAAUAUACUAGACGGAGAUCUCCCAGUCGAGCCCACAUGAGAAUAACUGUUGUGCUGAUGGCACCAUACAUAGAGAUUGUGGGAAGUGGGGUCUCUCCACUUCCUUUUUCUCCAUUUCCCUCCACUUCCCCCAUCCUCACCAUUCAUUAAUUUUAUCAUUUAAAAAAAUUAUUUAAUAAAAAAAUUUGAAUGGUGAGGAUGGGGGAAGUGGAGGGAAAGGGAGGGAAAAAAGUGGAGAGACCCCUGGUCCGAGAUUGUGAGAGAAAGAAUGUACAAAUGGAACAUAUGGCGCUUAAGAUUGACAGCAGUCCCAUCAUCCACAUCACCUGGCAUGGUAAAUCCAGCAGCAAAUGAUGCUGUUAUCAUAAGGGUUGAAACCACUAUUAAAGUGUCAAUUCUGUCUUCAUAUUGUUCGGUUCUGAAUUCCCUUUUCAUCACUAUAGUUUGUGCGCUUGUAGGAGUGAGUCCCAUCAUUGAUUUUUGAGGUCUACCGGCAGAUUGCAACGCAAUCCAUGUAAGUCGCUGCAAAUAUGCAUUUGGAUUUGUUAGAAACAAAACUAGCAUUGAAUCUUCAUUAAAAUAUUAAAUUUUGUAUUAAUAUACUUGCCUGUGCAAA